This 112-nucleotide non-coding RNA is filed under the name Desulfuribacillus alkaliarsenatis. Its description in RNAcentral is "SAM-I sequence". It matches the Rfam family "SAM riboswitch aptamer (S box leader)". Rfam says of the family: The SAM riboswitch is found upstream of a number of genes which code for proteins involved in methionine or cysteine biosynthesis in Gram-positive bacteria. The SAM riboswitch acts at the level of transcription termination control. The record is from Rfam by way of RNAcentral. Lineage: Bacteria; Bacillati; Bacillota; Desulfuribacillia; Desulfuribacillales; Desulfuribacillaceae.
CUCUUAUCCAGAGAGGUGGAGGGGCUGGCCCGAUGAAACCCGGCAACCGGUGAACGAUUUUUGUUCACUAUGGUGCCAAUUCCUGCAAAGCGUAUGCUUUGAUAGAUGAGAG